This 2115-nucleotide small RNA is filed under the name Pan troglodytes (chimpanzee). RNAcentral's name for it is "retained intron". Lineage: Eukaryota; Metazoa; Chordata; Mammalia; Primates; Hominidae. The record is from RNAcentral.
GUUUAACAUUACAGAUAUCCUUAACAUAUAUAUGUGCGUAUAUAUAUAUAUGUGCAGAGUAGAUAUCUGGGAAGACACACACUAAACUCUUUACAAAGGUUCAUGCUAAGGACUGGGAUUGGGGGCCAGGUGGUUAAAUAGAGGAUAAGGAGAUGAUUUAUGUAUCAGUUAUAUUUUUUAUAAUCAAUCUAUAUUAUCUUAAAACUAAUUUUUAAAACAAAAACACCUUAAAACUUUCUUCAUAAAUACUUUAUGACAAUUUUACUUAUUUUGGAACUAAAAAUUAUAAUUAGAAAGUCAUCAUUAUUGCUUUGAACUGUUGAAAGGGUAGUUGAUCAUAUGAAGUGGGAUUUUUCCCCCGCUGUCAUGAAAAUGUUUGUCAAGUUCCUCCAGCAAAGCCCAGCACAGAGUUGUUGUUCAGUAAUCGUUAAUUAUCUCUUUCUACCACAAAACCAGAAGCAAUGAGAACUAAUCUCUAUCCCAGAUGAAAGUAACUUGUAGCUUGUGGAAUAUUAUAAAAUCAUCAGGUUUUAUCAAUCAGGUGAACGCUUCACCUUAAACUACAAAUUCACCCCCAUUCUCCACUGCUUUUCAUCUUAUAUUCAUUCUCAAGAUUUUUUCCUUCUAAGGGGUCGUCUUCUAUUCAGUCUUAGAACACCUGCAUUCAUAGGGCCUUUUUGUAAUAGCCUGGUGCUUUUAAGGCAUCUAAAAGAUCUUAUCGUUAUAAUUCUGUUGUUAUCAACUUUCACGUUGGUUUUUUUAAUCUGCGCCUGGAAAGUUAGAUUUUUAGAAUUUACUUUAUUCAUUUAUUUAUUUAUUUAUUUAUUUAGAGACGGGGUCUCGCUCUGUUGCCAAGGCUGGAGUGCAGUGGAACGAUCUUGGCUCACUGCAACCUCCACCUCCUGGGCUCAAGCGAUCCUCCACCCUCAGCCUCCCAAGUAGCUGGGACUACCGGCACACACCACCACGCCUGGCUAAUUUUUUUGUAUUUUUGUAGAGACAAGGUUUCACUAUGUUGCCCAGGCUGGCCUCGAACUCCGGGGCUCAAGCAGUCUUCCCACCUCGGCCUCCCAAAGUGCCGGGAUUACGGGCAUGAGCCACUGCACCCAGCCUAGAAUUUACAUUUUAAACUGUUUAUUCUAACUCUUUUGCCCUUCUCUUCUGCCAGUGAAUAUGAUUGUUUCUUCAUGUAAAAAGAUGUUUUAUUCCAGUUGACUACGACUGAGAAGCCACUGAGAAAGCCACCUUCCAGACUAAAAAAACUCAAGAUCAAAAAGGAAGUGAAGGAUUUCACAAUGAAGGACAUCGAGGAGAAGAUGGAGGCUGCCGAGGAGCGCAGGAAGACUAAAGAAGAAGAAAUAAGAAAAAGGCUAUGGAGUGACCGACUUUUGCCUUCAGCCAAUCAUUCAGAUUCAGCUGAAUUAGGAGGGGCCGAGGUUGCAUUUUCCAAAGGACUUCAAAGGGUGAGGUCUGCUGGAUUUGAACCAUCUGACCUGCAGGGAGGAAAACCAUUGAAGAGGAAGAAGAGUAAAAGUGAUGCAACCUUGAAUGACAUAAACGAAAGUGAUGAAAGUUUUGGGGUCGUGGAGUCAGACAUGUCCUACAACCAAGCAGAUGACAUAGUCUACUAAGCCAUUUUUUGUGAAUUUCAUAAGAAAGCAUUCAUUCUCCCCGUUUGUGAAAUUUGUAGUAUGUCUCAUAAUCUUUGACUGACCUCAUUCCACUGGGAUUUCUGCCUUGGGCUUAAGAAUGAUUGUGUGGGCUGCACAGGCUGAAGGUUAGCUGAGUAAAUUAAGUAGCUAUGCUAGUUUUUAAAAAAAGAGCGAGGGGGAGACUUGACCAGCAUAGAUAUUUGGCACUCUCCUUUGUGUGGCUUCAAACAUUAUGGAGAUGUCUUUAAUUUAUAAGUGCCUUCAGUUCACAUUAAUAAGUUCGUGCCAAAUGAAAUCCUUCCUGUUUACUCCUGCCUUGUGGCGGGGUCCAUCCUCUGCUGGUCCUUUAAAACAAAUUGCAUGGAUUUGUAUUAAGUAUUUUAAUGGUUUAUAUGUUUUUUAUGCUGUAUGUCUAUGGUUUUAUAAAUUUUUUUCUCUGUGUUGUGAAGGAAUAAAGCAAUGU